Molecule: ribosomal RNA, 294 nt
Filed under: uncultured bacterium
Lineage: Bacteria
Description: partial 16S ribosomal RNA
Rfam family: Bacterial small subunit ribosomal RNA
Source: RNAcentral
GGAUUAGAUACCCUGGUAGUCCACGCCGUAAACAAUGGACACUUGUUGUUGGAGGUAUUGACCCCUUCAGUGACGAAGCUAACGCGUUAAGUGUCCCGCCUGGGGAGUACGGUCGCAAGAUUAAAACUCAAAGAAAUUGACGGGGGCCCGCACAAGCGGUGGAGCAUGUGGUUUAAUUCGAUGCAACGCGAAGAACCUUACCUGGGUUUGAAAUGAACAGGAAGACUACCAGAGAUGGUGUCGCUCGCAAGAGUCUGUUCACAGGUGCGGCAUGGCUGUCGUCAGCUCGUGCCG